UCUGCAGGAUUUACGCGCACGUUGGAACCGAAGAGAGCUCUGUUGUUGCAAUGUUCAGCCCACAAGAGCUUACUGGUGAAGGAAUGGGACAAGACCCAUCUUUAUGCAAAGCCAGCGUUACAGUAAUGUUCCAGCAUCUCAUAAUCUAUCCUGGGGAAUUCAGCUGCCUCCCAGGGUGAAUACAGGUAAUUAUCCAAAUUGGUGUAUGUCAUCUUUGUAAAUGUUCAAGAAAACAAGUGGCCGGCGGAACAAUGUUUUUUGGCGCCUUCCAUCUUGUUCCUCUUGAAAUGAUUUUCUGGGGAGGGAGAUCGCAACCCGGUACUACAGUUCUUGUAAGGGUGUGCUGUUACCCUCAUCCAUAUAUCGAUCACGUUACUGUCAGAUGAUUUGAAUUGAUAAGCUGAUGUUCUGUGAGGUACAAAAGUUAAUAGCAUGUUAGAGUUCUGAUGGCAGUUGUUGUUUAUGAAUAAGCUUCAUUCCAUCCUAAUACCUUAAAAUAACUAAUUUGCUUUCCUUUCCAGGUAUUCCUGAUGACAGUCUGCCUCUAUCUUACAGUAAGUUGUUUUUCGAAUUCUAUGGGCCUAUUAUCUAAUAGAUAACUUAGCCAUUUUGAUAUUUGUUACCAAAGCCU
RNAcentral lists this long non-coding RNA (631 nucleotides) under Homo sapiens (human). RNAcentral describes it as "non-protein coding SNHG1:61". The stretch from base 378 to 452 matches the Rfam family "Small nucleolar RNA SNORD28". The record is from RNAcentral. Lineage: Eukaryota; Metazoa; Chordata; Mammalia; Primates; Hominidae.